RNAcentral lists this ribosomal RNA (580 nucleotides) under Mycothermus thermophilus. RNAcentral's name for it is "partial large subunit ribosomal RNA". It matches the Rfam family "Eukaryotic large subunit ribosomal RNA", at positions 24 to 607 of the family's 3401-position model. The record is from RNAcentral. Lineage: Eukaryota; Fungi; Ascomycota; Sordariomycetes; Sordariales; Chaetomiaceae.
UUUACCCUGCUGAACUUAAGCAUAUCAAUAAGCGGAGUAUAUUAGAAACCAACAGGGAUUGCCAUAGUAACGGCGAGUGAAGCGGCAACAGCUCAAAUUUGAAAGCUGGCCUUCGGGUCCGCGUUGUAAUUUGCAGAGGAAGCUUUGGGCGCGGCGCUGUCUGAGUCCCCUGGAACGGGGCGCCAAAGAGGGUGAGAGCCCCGUAUAGACGGAUGCCUAGCCUGUGUAAAGCUCCUUCGACGAGUCGAGUAGUUUGGGAAUGCUGCUCAAAAUGGGAGGUAAAUUUCUUCUAAAGCUAAAUACCGGCCAGAGACCGAUAGCGCACAAGUAGAGUGAUCGAAAGAUGAAAAGCACUUUGAAAAGAGGGUUAAAUAGCACGUGAAAUUGUUGAAAGGGAAGCGCUUGUGACCAGACUUGCGCCGGGCUGAUCAUCCGGUGUUCUCACCGGUGCACUCUGCCCGGCUCAGGCCAGCAUCGGUUCUCGCGGGGGGAUACAAGGCUUAGGGAAUGUAGCUCCUCCGGGAGUGAUAUAGCCCUCUGCGUAAUACCCUCGCGGGGACGCGAGGUCUGCGCUCUGCAA